This 477-nucleotide ribosomal RNA is filed under the name uncultured bacterium. RNAcentral's name for it is "bacterial SSU rRNA". It matches the Rfam family "Bacterial small subunit ribosomal RNA", at positions 29 to 521 of the family's 1533-position model. The record is from RNAcentral.
AUUGAACGCUGGCGGCAUGCUUUACACAUGCAAGUCGAACGGCAGCACAGGGAGCUUGCUCCCGGGUGGCGAGUGGCGCACGGGUGAGUAAUACAUCGGAACGUGUCCUGUUGUGGGGGAUAACUGCUCGAAAGGGUGGCUAAUACCGCAUGAGACCUGAGGGUGAAAGCGGGGGAUCGCAAGACCUCGCGCAAUUGGAGCGGCCGAUGCCCGAUUAGCUAGUUGGUGAGGUAAAGGCUCACCAAGGCGACGAUCGGUAGCUGGUCUGAGAGGACGACCAGCCACACUGGGACUGAGACACGGCCCAGACUCCUACGGGAGGCAGCAGUGGGGAAUAUUGCACAAUGGGGGAAACCCUGAUGCAGCGACGCCGCGUGAGCGAAGAAGUAUUUCGGUAUGUAAAGCUCUAUCAGCAGGGAAGAAAAUGACGGUACCUGACUAAGAAGCCCCGGCUAACUACGUGCCAGCAGCCGCGGU